Molecule: long non-coding RNA, 1016 nt
Organism: Cyprinus carpio (common carp)
Lineage: Eukaryota; Metazoa; Chordata; Actinopteri; Cypriniformes; Cyprinidae
Source: Ensembl
UUCUGAUUCAUUCUGGUAUUGUUUUUUCUAUUCGUGCAAUUUUGCAUUCUAUUCAAAAGCUUGAAUUUUCAAGUGCAACAGAAUGGCACAUUCACACAUAAAUUACUUUUAUUAAAAAUGCAUCUAUGAAUGAAGCUACAUGAAGAUAAAACCUGAUUGCAUAGCAUUUUUAUCCUCAAUUUGGGAAAAUUUUGCUGAGAAGCAUCUGCAAACUUAACAUUAGCAUUAUGAUCUUGUGCCCUUUUUACAUCAUCUUCCAAGCAUCAGGCAACAGAAUACCAAAACAAGGUAUCUUAAAAGCAUCUCAAAAUACUAUCUAGGUAGGCAGCUCACUAUGGAGCACAGGCUAACAUGACAGCUUCAUAAAUGACUAAGCUUGACUGAAAUGCUUCUUUGUGCCUUUUGUCACCUAAACCCCCAGAAUGCAUUGGGGCAAGGGAGUGAGGCGAUAAGUGUGAGGCAAAGAUGCAUUUGCUCCGCAGAAGUGGCCACGGUGCAGAUGUUGCAGGUUAUUUCCGUGAAGUUUCAUCAUGAUGCUGGGACACUGAACUCUGAAUUGUUCAUGCCGUUGACUUCAAACCGUUAUUUGGCUAUCCUUGCAUCCUCAAACAGCCCAGCAAGAGCUUGUGCCUCUGUCCUAAAGACUUUAAGGCUUCCAGCUGUCAUUACUUUCUCUAAAACCAACCAAUGGACCAUUGAGAGCCAAGCCAGCACUAACCGGUAUUUUUGGACAGUGGAAGCUCUGAGUUGCCACCGAACGAGGGUAAACCUUUCCAAAAACACAGAGGAUAUUCUUAUUUUGUAUUGAGUCCUAAAUCUAUUGUUUGAUCUAAUUAUUCUGCCUCUAAGGCCCUAUUAUCCAGGCACUACUGAUGAAACCGAAGCGAAAAAAGGAGGCAGAGUGUGUCUCCUGGUUGUUUGAGACAUGCUAGGACAUCCAUAGCACAGAAAGAGAGAGAGAGAGAUAAAGAGCAAGAUAUAGAAAGAGAGUGAAUAAAAGAGUACUGAGUGAUUCA